AAGCUGUCUAUGGCUAUACCACCCUGAACACGCCCAAUCUCGUCUGAUCUCAGAAGCUAAGCAGGGUUGGGCCUGGUUAGUACUUGGAUGGG
Molecule: microRNA precursor, 92 nt
Filed under: Erinaceus europaeus (western European hedgehog)
Lineage: Eukaryota; Metazoa; Chordata; Mammalia; Eulipotyphla; Erinaceidae
Source: RNAcentral